Maniola jurtina (meadow brown) is the source of this 203-nucleotide small nucleolar RNA. RefSeq annotates it as small nucleolar RNA U3. The transcript has a single exon. Lineage: Eukaryota; Metazoa; Arthropoda; Insecta; Lepidoptera; Nymphalidae. The record is from RefSeq and is a predicted model, not a curated record.
AAGACCUUACUUCAUAGGAUCAUUUCUAUAGUAAGCUCUUAACAAGACGCACACAUCAUGUGAGCCCAGUACAGGUCACGAUGACGAGACGUGGCGCGGCGACCUGAGCGUGAGGCGGACGAUGGUGGAAGCCGUCAGUCCUCGAUGAUCGUUCACUCCUCUCUUCGGAGAGGGGCGUGGGUCGCUGUCGCUUUCUGAGUGGC